RNAcentral lists this ribosomal RNA (165 nucleotides) under uncultured bacterium. RNAcentral describes it as "partial 16S rRNA". It matches the Rfam family "Bacterial small subunit ribosomal RNA", at positions 355 to 511 of the family's 1533-position model. The record is from RNAcentral.
UAGGGAAUCUUCCACAAUGGGCGCAAGCCUGAUGGAGCAACGCCGCGUGAGUGAAGAAGGUUCUUCGGAUACGUAAACUCUGUUGUUAGAGAAGAACACGAGUGAGAGUAACUGUUCAUUCGAUGACGGUAUCUAACCAGCAAGUCACGGCUAACUACGUGCCAG